UACGUAGGCAGCGAGCGUUGUUCGGAGUUACUGGGCGUAAAGGGUGUGUAGGCGGUUGUUUAAGUUUGGUGUGAAAUCUCCCGGCUCAACUGGGAGGGUGCAUCGAAAACUGGGGUGCUCGAGGGUGGGAGAGGUAAGCGGAAUUCCUGGUGUAGCGGUGAAAUGCGUAGAUAUCAGGAGGAACACCUGUGGUGUAGACAGCUUACUGGACCACUUCUGACGCUGAGACACGAAAGCGUGGGUAGCAAACAGG
RNAcentral lists this ribosomal RNA (253 nucleotides) under uncultured bacterium. RNAcentral describes it as "partial 16S ribosomal RNA". It matches the Rfam family "Bacterial small subunit ribosomal RNA", at positions 524 to 776 of the family's 1533-position model. The record is from RNAcentral.